This 343-nucleotide RNase P RNA is filed under the name Candidatus Ruthia endofausta. RNAcentral's name for it is "RNase P RNA component class A". It matches the Rfam family "Bacterial RNase P class A". Rfam says of the family: Ribonuclease P (RNase P) is a ubiquitous endoribonuclease, found in archaea, bacteria and eukarya as well as chloroplasts and mitochondria. Its best characterised activity is the generation of mature 5'-ends of tRNAs by cleaving the 5'-leader elements of precursor-tRNAs. Cellular RNase Ps are ribonucleoproteins. Lineage: Bacteria; Pseudomonadati; Pseudomonadota; Gammaproteobacteria; Pseudothioglobaceae (SeqCode). The record is from RNAcentral.
GAAGUUGGUCGGAUGGUCGCUGGAGAUUAAUUUUUCAGAGGAAAGUCCGGGCUCCAUAGAACAAAGUGCUAGCUAACAGCUAGGUAUGGUGACAUAACGGAAAGUGCUGCAGAGAUUUAGACCGCUUAUUUUUAAUAGGUAAGGGUGAGAAGGUGCGGUAAGAGCGCACCGCGCAUUUGGCGACAAAUGUGGCAAGGUAAACCCCACUUGGAGCAAGCUCAAAUAAGCCAAUGAUGAUGUUGCUCGCGGAGUUGGCGGGUAGAGUGCUAAAGCGUUUUGGUAACAAAAUACGUAGAUGAAUGACCAUCUAUUACAGAACCCGGCUUAUAGACCAACUUUUUUU